Non-coding RNA from Oryza sativa Japonica Group (Japanese rice), 2409 nucleotides. The record is from RefSeq and is a predicted model, not a curated record. Lineage: Eukaryota; Viridiplantae; Streptophyta; Magnoliopsida; Poales; Poaceae.
CCGCGAGUCCGCGACCCCUUCCCCGGCCCACGCGCGGCUGCGAGCCUGCAACCUCCGUCCCCCUCUCCCUGCGCCUUCUCCCCUAACCCUAUCCGCCGUCGCUCCCGCUCUAGCGCCGCCGUCGCAAUCACCUUCUCCCCCAAUCGUAUCUGCCGCUGCUUCCGCUCUCCACCUUCACACAGUCGACCGACGUCAGUAGUCCGCUAUCGAUGCAGCGUCUGGCGUUUGGAUCUGCUCGUCUCCGCCGCCGGUUACGCCGCCUCUCCGUCGAUCUCCUACGUGGUCCCGUUUGCUCCAUAGCGGACUCCGCCUGCAAGUCCGCCGGCCAUCGCAUGAUCCUGACGGCAGCUAGAUCCAGUACCCUGUCCACCCGUCUCUCCUUCAUCACCGAGGGACAUCACAAUCUAGAAAAGAUCAUUUCGGUACAUGAUAACUAUUGCUCCUCGAAGACUGGGUCGCCGUUGAAGGCUUUCAAUUUUGGCAAGUUCUGAAUUCGAGCUCCUCGAAUACUGGGUCGCCGUUGAAGGCUUUCAAUUUUGGCAAGUUCUGAAUUCGAGCUCGAUGACCGGGUCCUUGUUGAAGGCUUUCAAUUUUGGCAUGUUCUGAAUUCGAGCAUGGGAGUGCAACCAUGAUCAUUCGCAUGACCUGUCACUGACUCACUGUCACUUAACCUGGUGAGCACUGUAUAUACUAUUUUGGUAGCGGCAUAUAUGGUGGAAUAUUUAUAACCUUUUUCAUAAACUCUCUCGUGGUAAAUUGGUAGGACUUCACUCCAUAUAUUUCCUGACAAUUGUUGCUCAUUUACAGUAUAACAAAUAUGCUGAAACUAUUUCCUGUAAAAGGGACAACAGAAGAAUUAAUGUAGCUGCAAGAAAAAACAAAUUAUUAGCCUCUGCUGCUUUGUGACCGGGUUAUGUGUUAACUAUUGUAUCUUUGUUUGGAGUUGAUUAGUCUUAAGAUCUUUUAAGCGAACAAUUCUAUUUUUCUAUAGCAACUGGGUGCAAUUUUUUCAGUCACAUUUUACAAUUUGAUGCAGUGGAUGCAUGGAUGGGCCAACGGUUGUCUUGUCAGAUAGAUCCUAUGGGACUGCCCCUAUGCUCAUCUUCCUCCAUCUGUGGAGCGACAAGUACCUUUGCUAUAUUCCUUUUUUAGAUUUACAAAUCAAUUCCUAAAAAAAGAACUUCAGUACACAAAUGGUCUCUCUGAACCAUGAAUUUUUCUUCAGUUAAAAAUGGAAUAGAUAUACUACGUGAAGAAAUCAUGCUUAUAAAUCUCUAAUCUCUCCCUUGUAUGGCUGAAUGAUUGAUUUGUUUUGAAAGGCAUUGCGAUAAUUAUUGUAUAUUUGCACUGUGGUAGAUUCAUAAUCCAUACUUAUUUUCUGAACAUGUUCACAUUGGACUACUUUUUGGAUGUUUAGUAUAGUGCAUGCUGCCAUGUACCAGCAGGCAUGUGGAGAAGCAUUUGUCUUCAUAACUUGCAAAUAUGUGAAAUAUCAAUUGAGGGGUAGUGGAGCGUAUAUAGAAAUUGAGGGGUAGUGAAAUAUGUUUUUGCAGGAAUUUAGCAAAUGUUCUCUUUAACAACUGAAACUCAUUUGUUGGGGGUUGACUGGGUGUAAUGCAACUGAACGAAUCUAGACAAAUAUAUUGAUUUUCCGGAAACUGUUUUUCAUCAAAAUAUUACGUUGCAUUGUCCAUAUUACCUUGAUAGUGUCAUGUUGCUCAACCAAAUUACCAUGUUUACGCCUUUUCUUUUUACCUGAUGUUCUGCUUAUUUUGCUCUAUGGUAGUGAUUAUAUGCAACUACGCCAGUCCUGUCCUCUGCUUUACAUUAUUCAUAUUACUAGAGAUUACUAGACUGUUUAUGUUUCCAAAGAGCAGCAGCGUGCGAAUAGAGAUAUUUAGGUAUAUGAUCUUUGUAUCAUAUAUUCAUGUAUCAUGUAUUCAGUAGUUAAUAUUGUGGCAAACUCUUAGGCUGAAUCUGGGCCUGCUUGAAAGCUUGGUCCAUAGAUCAGAAAGGGUUUUUUUGGACCCACGAAAAAUACAAGUGUAAUAUACUUACCUGUGUAAAGAAUUUUGAUGCUGUCAAUCUAGAAAAAUAGAUACUCUUAAGUAACCAAUACAGACCCACUAACAGGGUGGAUACCAGGGUGACGGUCGCCUCAGAUUCGGAGCUGAGGGAAUGGUGUAGGAGGAAGCGGAUGGAUCGAGCUGCUACACCCCCGCACUUCGCUGUCUCGAUGUGCCCCGUCAUUGGCCGCUUCGCCAUGGCGGCGGGGUGACGAGAUUCUUAAGUGUAUCACGAAUACUCAAAGUUAUAUUCUAUAUUGUACCGAUUACCGAAUAUUUUUUUUAUUUCUCUAUGACCACAACAAAUUAAUGGAAUAAUUCUCUACCAUUUUUGUCUUAUUUA